AAUUUUAAAGAUUAGUGUCUGCUUGCAGAACUUGCAUACAGGUGCUGCACGGCUGUCGUCAGCUCGUGUCGUGAGAUGUUGGGUUAAGUCCCGCAACGAGCGCAACCCUCGUCCUUAGUUGCUAACAGUUCGGCUGAGAACUCUAAGGAGACUGCCUACGCAAGUAGGAGGAAGGUGAGGAUGACGUCAAGUCAUCAUGGCCCUUACGUCCAGGGCUACACACGUGCUACAAUGGGGUAUACAAAGAGCAGCAAUACGGUGACGUGGAGCAAAUCUCAAAAAUGCCUCCCAGUUCGGAUUGUAGUCUGCAACUCGACUACAUGAAGUUGGAAUCGCUAGUAAUCGUAGAUCAGCUAUGCUACGGUGAAUACGA
Molecule: ribosomal RNA, 373 nt
Filed under: Aliarcobacter butzleri
Lineage: Bacteria; Pseudomonadati; Campylobacterota; Epsilonproteobacteria; Campylobacterales; Arcobacteraceae
Description: bacterial SSU rRNA
Rfam family: Bacterial small subunit ribosomal RNA
Source: RNAcentral